CUGGCCAUAAACGAUGGAUACUAGGUGUUAGAGGUAUCGACCCCUCUAGUGCCGCAGCUAACGCAUUAAGUAUCCCGCCUGGGGAGUACGACCGCAAGGUUGAAACUCAAAGGAAUUGACGGGGGCCCGCACAAGCGGUGGAGCAUGUGGUUUAAUACGUCACUAACCGUAGAACCUUACCCAGGCUUGACAUCUAGGGAAUCCUGAUGAAAGUCGGGAGUGCCUUUGGGAGCCCUAAGACAGGUGU
Molecule: ribosomal RNA, 247 nt
Filed under: uncultured Armatimonadota bacterium
Lineage: Bacteria; Bacillati; Armatimonadota
Description: uncultured Armatimonadetes bacterium partial 16S ribosomal RNA
Rfam family: Bacterial small subunit ribosomal RNA
Source: RNAcentral